AUGAACGCUGGCGGCGUGCCUAAUACCUGCCAGUCGAGCGAACAGACGAGGAGCUUGCUCCUCUGACGUUAGCGGCGGACGGGUGAGUAACACGUGGAUAACCUACCUAUAAGACUGGGAUAACUUCGGGAAACCGGAGCUAAUACCGGAUAAUAUAUUGAACCGCAUGGUUCAAUAGUGAAAGACGGUUUUGCUGUCACUUAUAGAUGGAUCCGCGCCGCAUUAGCUAGUUGGUAAGGUAACGGCUUACCAAGGCAACGAUGCGUAGCCGACCUGAGAGGGUGGUCGGCCACACUGGAACUGAGACACGGUCCAGACUCCUACGGGAGGCAGCAGUAGGGAAUCUUCCGCAAUGGGCGAAAGCCUGACGGAGCAACGCCGCGUGAGUGAUGAAGGUCUUCGGAUCGUAAAACUCUGUUAUUAGGGAAGAACAAAUGUGUAAGUAACUAUGCACGUCUUGACGGUACCUAAUCAGAAAGCCACGGCUAACUACGUG
RNAcentral lists this ribosomal RNA (496 nucleotides) under uncultured bacterium. Its description in RNAcentral is "partial 16S ribosomal RNA". It matches the Rfam family "Bacterial small subunit ribosomal RNA", at positions 29 to 507 of the family's 1533-position model. The record is from RNAcentral.